CAGACCUUUAAUGGAGGAAGAGAUGGAGUUUCUCCUGCAGAUGGAGGAGAAGCGUGCACAAGUGGAGGCGAGGCGAGCAGAGGCCGAGUUGAAGCACGCUCAAGUGGAGGCUGAGGUGAGGUUUCGUCUUACUGAAAUAUGCAUCCAUACCACAUCACUGAGAGGGGAUUGGGAACCCUGAUGCUGCUGGAGAGAAUGAUUCAAGAGGAUGCACAUUGAGAGAUGAAUGGGUGGAAUGACACAAAGAAGGAAGGAAAGACAUACAGAAAUGGGAGAGGAGCAGAAUGGGGGAUGAAGAAGAUGAAAGCCAGAGCUGGAUUAGGAUCUGUCUCAACAGUUAGAGCUUUCCCCAAGGACAGAAUAGUAAGAGAUGGGUGACUGGAGUUUCUUGGGGAACAUUUUAGAAGAAGUGAAUGAGCACUCCACAGUCAUCGGGAGAGUCUGGCUCACAGUGCUCUUCAUUUUUCGAAUCCUGAUUCUGGGAACAGCUGCUGAAUUUGUCUGGGGAGAUGAACAGUCAGACUUUGUGUGCAACACGCAGCAGCCUGGUUGUGAGAAUGUCUGUUACGAUGAAGCCUUCCCCAUUUCCCACAUCCGGCUCUGGGUCCUGCAGAUCAUCUUUGUCUCUACUCCUUCACUGGUGUAUGUGGGGCAUGCUGUGCAUCAUGUGCGGAUGGUGGAGAAGAGGAGAGAGAGAGAGCAGGCAGAGAGGCAACAGCAAGCUGAGAUGGAUGAAGAGAGGUUACCGCUAACUCCAGACCAAGAGGACAUCAGGAACACCAAUGAAAUCAAUCCCAAGGGGGCCAAGAAGUUCCGACUGGAGGGAACACUCCUGGGAACCUACAUCUGUCACAUCAUUUUUAAAGCCAUUUUCGAGGUAGGGUUCAUAGUAGGUCAAUACUUCUUGUACGGCUUCCGAAUUCUACCCCUGUACCGCUGUGGCCGGUGGCCUUGCCCCAACCUUGUGGACUGCUUUGUAUCCAGGCCCACUGAGAAGACAGUCUUCAUUAUGUUUAUGCUGGCUGUAGCCUCAGUAUCCCUCGUCCUCAACCUUGUGGAGAUCAGUUACUUGAGCUUGAAAAAGAUUCGCCUGUUUUUCAGGAGGCCCACAGAGCAACAACAGGGGGAGAUCCCAGAGAAGCCCCUCCACUCCAUUGCAGUCUCUUCCAUUCAGAAGGUCAAGGGCUACAAGCUGCUGGAGGAAGAGAAGCCGGUGUCCCGUUACUUACCUCUGACAAAAGUGGGGGUAGAAACUGCUCCCCCUCCAUCUUCUUUCAAUGACUUGGAUGAGAAGCUUGGUAUGGGUCCCGUAGAAGACCUUUCCAGGACCUUUGAUGAGAGAUUACCAUCUUAUGCCCAAGCAAAAGAGCAGAAGGAGGAGAAGGUAGAGGCAGGGGAAGAGGAGCAGGAUCAAGAAGAAGAGGAGGAGCAUCAGGAACCAGAAGAAGAGCUGGAGGUGAAGAAGAUGGCAGCGGAACAGGAACUGCCAGGAGAGGAACUGCCUGCAGUGCCUGCUGAAACUGACACAAGACCUCCCAGCAGGUUAAGCAAAACCAGCAGCCGGGCCAGGUCAGAUGAUUUGACUGUAUAAGGGUGUGGGGAGUAACUACGCACACACAAAAUCACACGUUUUUAAACAAAAUGCUCAAAUGGUCAUUUGAAUAUUUCCUAUUGAGAUUCUCCGCUGGAAAGGUGCUAUCAUUGUAACUGCACCUUGUCUGUCCUGUGUGUCCCAUGGCUGGUGCUAGCUAUCAUGUAACAUAUUCAAAGGAACAGUUUCUUUUUUUUUUCCAGAUGCCAGUUCACUUCUCACAGCACCUGUGCUAUACAUGGCACUGAAGCAUUUUAAAACUAAAACAAAACAAAAAUCCAAAUGUAUUUACUAUGGCUGCACUUGCUGACAGUUUUAUGUUCCACAUUUCACUAGAGAUAUGGGGGAAAUGGCUCUUUCAGACAGUAUCUGGCUGAAGGGUUGAUAAAUAGAUAUCUUUGGAUAUUUCUUACUCUGUUUUAGCAUGUGGCAUAAUGACAUUGGUCCUCCCUUCAUUGCUAGCAUAGAAUUGCAGUUAUUUAAUUCACAAAAAAGGAUCCUGUGCUUAAUAUCAUGAAACUAGAUGAAAGUAUUAUCACCAAAAUGGCCUUGCUUUGUUUGUGAAUGCAAAUUUCAGUUGCUUAUAAAUACCUUCCCGGCAUCCCCUUGGUUAGAAACACUUUUGAUCUACAAGUGAUGCUGAUAACAGAAAAGAUUAAAGCUAGUUUCUUGUAAGAAUUUAGCAGAUGCACACAAAUGGGUUAUUUAUUACCAACAGGGUCAUUUCAGUCAAAGACCUUUGUCAGGCUAGUGCAAAGAAUAAAUUAAAUUAAUAUUUGUUGUUAAGUGGGGUGAUUGGGGUGUGGAAAUUGACUUACAAAGGAGUGAUAGGAAGGCAUCUGUAAGUAGAACUACUGUACAUAGAGCACAAUGUCCAACGUAAGGCUCCCAGUGCUGCAUUUGCAGCUAGAUCUCAAAAGGUGCUUCCUUCCUGCAACUCCCAGGAAGAUAUGGGCACUCAACAAGUCUGAGAGAGUGUGUUGAGAUACUCAGCUUGGCAGUUGGUAUCCUAAAAUAUAAAUUUCGGCAGCUAAGUGACUGCUUAAACACCCAAAUGCCAAACUUCUUGACCUGAUUUAUGUGCUCAGGUUUGAAAAAUAGGCCCUUAUUUUGAAUAACAUAACAACGGUCAUUAGACAUCCUGCUUUGUUGCUAAUUUGAUAAGAAACUCAAUUUGCAGGAGUUUCCAAUACUCUACUUAGCUAAUGAACAUAAAUGAAUAGAGCAAGGUCAUUCAAAGGAUCAGUAAGAAAAAAUAUCUGUACCCAAAGGACUAAAGGAAUGCCACAAAGCUCCAGCAAAGUCUAUUUUAUUUUAGAAAAAAUUAAGAAAGAACAUCCACUUUCUGAGUGUGUAAUAGCUAAUGUUAAAAAUGUCAAUGGCUUUCAAAUGUUAGGGUCACAAAAGUCUUUCUUUGGCUGGGAUAAAGCAGCAAGUUGUUUAAAAGUUAAUCACUAUGCAAAGACUGAAUCUGUUGUCUGAAAAGUAUAGAUAUGUGCAGUGAUAAAAAACAAACAAAAGUGAGUAAACGAACCUUAUUUCCUAAAUGACAAAUGGGUAAAUGCUGUUUACCCACAAUUACUCUCAACUAUGGGUACUAGGGUACAUGUUUUCCUCUGUUCUGCUUUCCAGACCUCAGUCCCUGCCAGCUCAGCAAAUUUUCUCUGCUAUGCAGCAGCUCAUGUACAUUGUUUCAAGUGUGGAAUAGAAUCCAUUUCAGAAAAUGUACUUCACAUGAGACAUAAAACCAAAUCCUGCAACUGGCUAGAAAAGGCCCCGUGGACUAUGAUAUGAGGGCAGGACUCCUAGGUAAAUUCCCCUUUCAGUUUCAUUGGAUAUUAUGAUUUUGGCAAUACUAUUCUAAAUGGCUCUGUGGAGUUCCUGUGCCUUGUUAAACAGCUGCCAUAUUCCACUCCAGAGAUGGCUUCACUUCACUGGUGGGUGACGUGAUUACUAUAUGUAUGUAUAUGUUUUGUAAAGUGUUUUGGGAUUCUUUAGUACUAUAACAAUGCCACAUUUUUACAUUGUUAAGAAUUUUGCUCCUUUUGGGCUUGUCUUUUUCUAAACUUUGCAGCCUUGAUAAAGAUCAUGAGAGACAUUCAGAAGCUUUCUUUUGAAGAGAGACUCUAAAGAUUGCAUCUAUUUAGAGAGGAGAUACGGUAACUAAGAGGGUAUUUAUUAGAGAAAUAUAAAAUAAUGAUGGUGCAGAGAACCCAUGUAGAAUGCUUCCAGUGUCUCAUAAUACAAAAACAAGAGGGGCAAUCAAUGCAACUGAAAGGCAAAAAGUGGGAAAAUAAAAGGAAAUACUUUCUGUACAAGUCAUAAUGAACAUGAGUAACUUAUUGCCACACAAUUCCAGUGAAGCCAAAAACUCAGUAAGAUUAAAAUAGGAUUAGACAUUUACAUGAAUUAUAAGAACAUUUGC
This is a non-coding RNA of Pelodiscus sinensis (Chinese soft-shelled turtle), 4016 nucleotides long. NCBI's taxonomy places the organism in Eukaryota, Metazoa, Chordata, Testudines, Trionychidae. The record is from RefSeq and is a predicted model, not a curated record.